UACGGGGGGGGCCAGCGUUAUUCGGAAUUAUUGGGCGUAAAGGGCGCGUAGGCGGCCAUGCGUGUCUUCCGUGAAAUCCCUCGGCUUAACUGAGGACGUGCGGAAGAAACUGCAAGGCUCGAGUCCGGGAGAGGGGGGUGGAAUUCCCAGUGUAGCGGUGAAAUGCGUAGAUAUUGGGAGGAACACCGGUGGCGAAGGCGGCCCCCUGGACCGGUACUGACGCUGAGGCGCGAAAGCGUGGGUAGCAAACGGG
This 253-nucleotide ribosomal RNA is filed under the name uncultured bacterium. RNAcentral's name for it is "partial 16S ribosomal RNA". It matches the Rfam family "Bacterial small subunit ribosomal RNA", at positions 524 to 776 of the family's 1533-position model. The record is from RNAcentral.